AUAUCUACAUAUGUAGAUUAGAAACUUUCGGUCGGGUUCAGUUUAAUUUUGAUCGGGUUAGUUAAUACAUUGUUGAGUCUUUUGAUCAGCAUGGACAUGGUUUGAUGUGUGUUCGGUACCACAUAACAUGCGAGAAUACCUUCUCCGGUAUGUUGGAGAGAAGAUUAGCAAGAAAAAAUCGCGUGAGAAAAUGAGAAGUUGACAGAAAAAGAUUUUUUUCAUUAUCGAAAGAGACAUGUACAACAUCCAUAAUGGUGUGUCUGAUGGAAUUUGUCAUUUCAUUAAUAAAUAAUGCUGAUAAAGAUGCAAACUUAGCAAUUGUGCCUAAAAAGUGACAGCUUUGACAAAGAAAUAUAUCCAUAUAUAACAGUUACUGGUACUGUAUGAAUGCAGUGAAAGGAUCCAGAUGAACAAAUGAAGAGAUUAAGUACAAUGUACAUCAAUUACUUGGAUGAAGAGAAUCUGCAACAUGGGGAAAUAAUGUUCCUAUAGAAAAGUCAAAGAAUGUAUACAUGUGAGAUUCUGAAGUAGCCGUGCAUGAUGAGUAGGAAUUUGAAGUGAAUUAUGGGAAAAGUGAAAUGGUAAAAAAGAAACUGCUAGCGCUACUGUGCAGACUACCAUCAAUCAACAUGAUCAACAAAAUCAAGUAAUCCUUCUGAAGAUGGAGUAGUACACAAGCACAAUUUUUUAAAGAAAGAAAAGUCAAUGGAAUGAAGAAAAGGUGAAGUGAAUUGUCACUCAUUAUAUUUUAAAUUUAAUGUGGACAUGGUCAUUAUUUUAGUUAUGUCAUAACCUUCUUAUCAAUUUUAAGCAGUGCAGACAGAUGCAUUUCUUAUUGCUUUGAAUAGAAUAAAUUAUCAAAAAAGUUUGUAUAUGUUUUUUGAUAUAGAAUUUAUAUUAAAAAAAAAAUUAUCAAUUACUGCAGUUUUGAAUUUCAGUACACUAGAAAUUUUUCUGCCCUGCCAUGAAUAUGGCUGGGGCAUAUAGAGUUUGUCAUGUCCGUCUUCCGUCCUUUCAACCUUCUGUCUGUCCUUCCAUUCCGCUUUGCUUUUAGCUCAGUUCAAAACUAAGUUUCAAAGAAACUAUUCAAGAUAUUUUUAUCAAUCUUCAUAUGCUGAUACAUAUUGAUAAGAGGUAUUCAAUUUCAUCAACGUACCUUGACCUUUCCUUUAACUUUGACCUCACUUUUCUUAAAUUAGUGUUUAGCUCAGUUUUAAAGAAACCAUUCAAGAUAGUGUAAUCAAACUUCAUAUGCUGAUACAUACUGAAUCAACAUUUUUUUACCUUGACCUUUCCUUUGACCUUGACCGUACUUAUCUUAAAUAAGUGUUUAGCUCAGUUUUAAAGAAACCAUUCAGGAUAGCGUAAUCAAACUUCAUUUGCUGAUACAUACUGAUGAGAGCUAUUCAACUGCAUCAACAUUUUUUGAUCUUGAUUUUUCCUUUGACCUUCACCUCACUUUUUCUAAAUUAGUGUCAAACUUCAUAUUCUGAUACAGACUGAUGUAAGGUAUUUGACUGUAUCAACAUUUUUGACCUUGACAUUUCAUUUGAC
This is a long non-coding RNA of Saccostrea echinata, 1554 nucleotides long. RefSeq lists it as uncharacterized. The record is from RefSeq and is a predicted model, not a curated record. NCBI's taxonomy places the organism in Eukaryota, Metazoa, Mollusca, Bivalvia, Ostreida, Ostreidae. The transcript has 6 exons.